RNAcentral lists this transfer RNA (76 nucleotides) under Bacillus sp. M6-12. RNAcentral's name for it is "tRNA-Thr". It matches the Rfam family "tRNA". From Rfam's summary of the family: Transfer RNA (tRNA) molecules are approximately 80 nucleotides in length. The record is from RNAcentral. Lineage: Bacteria; Bacillati; Bacillota; Bacilli; Caryophanales; Bacillaceae.
GCUGGAAUAGCUCAAUUGGCAGAGCACCUGACUUGUAAUCAGGGGGUUGUAGGUUCAAAUCCUAUUUCCAGCACCA